RNAcentral lists this ribosomal RNA (502 nucleotides) under uncultured Glomeromycotina. Its description in RNAcentral is "partial small subunit ribosomal RNA". It matches the Rfam family "Eukaryotic small subunit ribosomal RNA", at positions 591 to 1092 of the family's 1831-position model. The record is from RNAcentral. Lineage: Eukaryota; Fungi; Glomeromycota.
CCAAUAGCGUAUAUUAAAGUUGUUGCAGUUAAAAAGCUCGUAGUUGAAUUUCGGAAUCUGUCCGCUGGUCGGGCUUCACUGUCCGUACUGGUGUGAUGGGUUCUUACCUUCUGAAUAACCAGCAUGCCAUUCACUUGGUGCGCUGGGGAAGCAGGACUAUUACCUUGAAAAAAUUAGAGUGCUCAAAGCAGGCUAGUGCCUGAAUACAUUAGCAUGGAAUAAUAAAAUAGGACGGCAUGGUUCUAUUUUGUUGGUUUCUAGGAUCACCGUAAUGAUUAAUAGGGUUAGUUGGGGGCAUUAGUAUUCAAUUGUCAGAGGUGAAAUUCUUGGCUUUAUUGAAGACUAACUUCUGCGAAAGCAUUUGCCAAGGAUGUUUUCAUUAAUCAAGAACGAAAGUUAGGGGAUCGAAGACGAUCAGAUACCGUCGUAGUCUUAACCAUAAACUAUGCCGACUAGGGAUCGGACGAUGUUAAUUUUUUAAUGACUCGUUCGGCGCCUUACG